RNAcentral lists this ribosomal RNA (490 nucleotides) under uncultured bacterium. Its description in RNAcentral is "partial 16S ribosomal RNA". It matches the Rfam family "Bacterial small subunit ribosomal RNA", at positions 30 to 507 of the family's 1533-position model. The record is from RNAcentral.
AUUGAACGCUGGCGGCAGGCCUAACACAUGCAAGUCGAACGGUAACAGGAAGAAGCUUGCUUCUUUGCUGACGAGUGGCGGACGGGUGAGUAAUGUCUGGGAAACUGCCUGAUGGAGGGGGAUAACUACUGGAAACGGUAGCUAAUACCGCAUAACGUCGCAAGACCAAAGAGGGGGACCUUCGGGCCUCUUGCCAUCGGAUGUUCCCAGAUGGGAUUGGCUAGUAGGUGGGGUAACGGCUCACCUAGGCGACGAUCCCUAGCUGGUCUGAGAGGAUGACCAGCCACACUGGAACUGAGACACGGUCCAGACUCCUACGGGAGGCAGCAGUGGGGAAUAUUGCACAAUGGGCGCAAGCCUGAUGCAGCCAUGCCGCGUGUAUGAAGAAGGCCUUCGGGUUGUAAAGUACUUUCAGCGGGGAGGAAGGGAGUAAAGUUAAUACCUUUGCUCAUUGACGUUACCCGCAGAAGAAGCACCGGCUAACUCCGUG